UAGGAGUUUUAUUCUUGCUUUUCCUUUCAGUUUUUGCUUGUUCUAUAUGUAAGUUUUUGCGUGGUUUUUUCUUGUGUUUCUAGAUGGGGCUGGGCCGGUGGUAGGUCUUUAAGGGUUUGUGUUUAUUUUCAUUAGUUAUUAUUGGUUGAUCAAAUAUUUUUGUGUCUAGCAAUUCAUUUUUAGUUUCGGUUAAAUUUUGUGCCAGCAGCCGCGGUUAUACCUUGGAGGCGUUUGAAUGUGUUUGGCUUUGGUAGUUUUAUGUGAUAUUUAUUUGUUGGUCUUAUUUUGAUUUGUUUGUUGGGUGAAAUUUUUAUUUUUUUAGGGGGGUUUUGUUGUUUUUUUGGAAGCUAUGAAACUCUUAUUUUAGACUAGGAUUAGAUACCCUAUUAUUUUUGAGUGUUAAUUUUUUUUGCUUGAGUAGUAUUAGUUUAUGUUCUUGAAACUUAAAGAAUUUGGCGGUAUCUUAUUCCAUUCAGAGGAACCUGUCUCGUUAUCGAUAGUCCGCGUUGGACCUUACUUAGGGUUUAUUGGUUUGUAUACCGCCGUUUAUUGAUUAUCUUUUUAGAGUUGUUUAAUUUUCUUGUUUCUUUAUUUUGAUUUAUUUCAGGUCAAGGUGCAGCUUUUUCUAAGUGGUAUGAUGGGUUACAAUGUUAUUUGUUGUUUGGAUUAUGUGUUUUUAUACGUGUAUGAAAUUGGAUUUGGUUGUAAUGUUUUGUAGAUUGUUUUCGUGAUAAUUGGUUCUGAGAUAUGUACACAUCGCCCGUCGCUCUCGUUUCGUUUUGUUAAUGAGAUAAGUCGUAACAAAGUGGCUGUACCGGAAGGUGUGGCUGGAAUGAUU
RNAcentral lists this non-coding RNA (838 nucleotides) under Macrotermes natalensis. Lineage: Eukaryota; Metazoa; Arthropoda; Insecta; Blattodea; Termitidae. The record is from RNAcentral.